Molecule: ribosomal RNA, 253 nt
Filed under: uncultured bacterium
Lineage: Bacteria
Description: partial 16S ribosomal RNA
Rfam family: Bacterial small subunit ribosomal RNA
Source: RNAcentral
GACAGAGGUGGCAAGCGUUGUUCGGAUUUACUGGGCGUAAAGGGCGCGUAGGCGGCCCGCUAAGUCGAACGUGAAAUCCCCGGGCUCAACCCGGGAACUGCGUCCGAUACUGGCGGGCUUGAAUCCGGGAGAGGGAUGCGGAAUUCCAGGUGUAGCGGUGAAAUGCGUAGAGAUCAGCAGGAAUACCCGUGGCGAAGGCGGCCCCCUGGGCCGAACCUGACGCUGAGGCGCGAAGGCUAGGGGAGCGAACGGG